RNAcentral lists this ribosomal RNA (711 nucleotides) under Triticum aestivum (bread wheat). RNAcentral's name for it is "partial small subunit ribosomal RNA". The record is from RNAcentral. Lineage: Eukaryota; Viridiplantae; Streptophyta; Magnoliopsida; Poales; Poaceae.
AUGAGGAGACCGGUUACAUCUGUUUCCCCACACCCACCUCAUAAAGUCUCGGAUCUAAUCAACCAUGCUACCGCUUCUUGGAACGAACAACUAAUACGUACAAUUUUUAUUCCAAUUGACGCGGAGGCAAUUCUGCAAAUUCCUCUCUGCACUAGACAGGUUGAGGACUUUUGGGCAUGGAGCGAGGAUAGGCGAGGGAUUUUCUCAGUGCGAACGGCUUACAGAAUGAUACAACAGACAAAGUUAAGUCGAGAAUCUUGGCUGUUUGAACAAGGGGGGUCUUCUCACUCAGAUUCAGAUAGUCAUUCAUGGACAAAAUUGUGGGGAAUCAAUGUUCCAUCAAAAGUUAAAAUUUUCUUAUGGAGGCUGGCCAAGAAUUCCACACCAACCGGGACACUAUUGCACCACAGAAACAUGGCCAAGACAGACGAAUGCUGCAUCUGUGGAGCAGAAGAUACUUGGAGGCAUGCAUUGCUUAAUUGCACAGUUUCGAGAAGUACUUGGGCAAUGUCUUCCGAGCACAUUGUUGACGUUUUGAGCAGGAAUGAUGAAACAGAUGCGAAGAGAUGGAUAUUCUCUAUGCACGAGGCAUUAUCACAUGAUGAGUUUACCACCUUGGUUGUCACUCUCUGGGCGUUGUGGGGUGCUCGCCGAAAAGCCAUACACGAACAGAUUUAUCAAAGUCCUUUCUCAGUCCAUUCUUUUGCCUAG